AUGAGUAUGAGCUGUGGGAGAUAACCAAGAACUGACAACCACCUAAGAAGAGGUGGCGAUAAUGGCUCUCCAAGAGGAGGUUGUGAGUCUGAAGGCUUUUAUUCAACAAGGAGGCACUUAGAGGAAAUGCCUGGACCCUGAGAGGACUAAGACGAUAAUUGAGGCCACCCUGAAGCAGUUCCCAGGCCAGACACUCACUCCAGAUUGCUGGGCCAGGCAAUAAAUGCCAGUGACAGAACUGAGGUUCC
Long non-coding RNA from Alosa alosa (allis shad), 248 nucleotides. RefSeq lists it as uncharacterized. The transcript has 3 exons. NCBI's taxonomy places the organism in Eukaryota, Metazoa, Chordata, Actinopteri, Clupeiformes, Clupeidae. The record is from RefSeq and is a predicted model, not a curated record.